AGUGAACGCUGGCGGUAGGCCUAACGCAUGCAAGUCGAACGGCAGCACAGUAAGAGCUUGCUCUUACGGGUGGCGAGUGGCGGACGGGUGAGGAAUACAUCGGAAUCUACUUUUUCGUGGGGGAUAACGUAGGGAAACUUACGCUAAUACCGCAUACGACCUACGGGUGAAAGCAGGGGAUCUUCGGACCUUGCGCGAUUGAAUGAGCCGAUGUCGGAUUAGCUAGUUGGCGGGGUAAAGGCCCACCAAGGCGACGAUCCGUAGCUGGUCUGAGAGGAUGAUCAGCAACACUGGAACGGGGCCACGGCCCAGACCCCUAGGGGAGGCAGCAGUGGGGAAUUUUGGACAAGGGGCGGAAGCCUGACCCAGCCAUACCGCGGGGGUGAAGAAGGCCUUCGGGUUGUAAAGCCCUUUUGUUGGGAAAAAAAAGCAGCAGGUUAAAACCCCGCUGUUCUGACGGUACCAAAAGAAAAAGCACCGGCUAACUUCGG
Molecule: ribosomal RNA, 491 nt
Filed under: uncultured bacterium
Lineage: Bacteria
Description: partial 16S ribosomal RNA
Rfam family: Bacterial small subunit ribosomal RNA
Source: RNAcentral